ACAAACAAGAAUGUGUCCUCAGUACACGAAUGCCCCACUCGCACUAUCAUUUUCUAUGUUCAGUGGACCGUGAAAUUGGGGUAAAAUCUCUAAUUUGGCAUUAAAAUUAGAAAGAUCAUAUCAUAGGGAACAUGUGUACCAAGUUUGAAGUCGAUUGGACUUCAACUUCAUCAAAAACUACCUCGACCAAAAACUUUAACCUGAAGCGGGACAGACGGACGAACGAACGAACGGACGCACAGACCAGAAAACAUAAUGCCCCUCUACUAUCGUAGGUGGGGC
RNAcentral lists this long non-coding RNA (282 nucleotides) under Mytilus galloprovincialis (Mediterranean mussel). The record is from RNAcentral. Lineage: Eukaryota; Metazoa; Mollusca; Bivalvia; Mytilida; Mytilidae.